This 236-nucleotide ribosomal RNA is filed under the name uncultured bacterium. Its description in RNAcentral is "partial 16S ribosomal RNA". It matches the Rfam family "Bacterial small subunit ribosomal RNA", at positions 83 to 334 of the family's 1533-position model. The record is from RNAcentral.
UCCAUGAGUACAGUGGCGUACGGGUGAGUAACACGUGGGGAUCUACCUCCUGGUGGGGAAUAACUCUGGGAAACCGGAGCUAAUACCGCAUAAGCAGGGAACUGGAAAGCCGAAAGGCGCCGGAAGAGGAGCCCGCGGCCGAUUAGCUAGUUGGUGAGGUAACGGCUCACCAAGGCAAAGAUCGGUAGCCGGCCUGAGAGGGCACACGGCCACACUGGCACUGAAACACGGGCCAG